CCUAACACAUGCAAGUCGAACGGUAACAGGAAGAAGCUUGCUUCUUUGCUGACGAGUGGCGGACGGGUGAGUAAUGUCUGGGAAACUGCCUGAUGGAGGGGGAUAACUACUGGAAACGGUAGCUAAUACCGCAUAACGUCGCAAGACCAAAGAGGGGGACCUUCGGGCCUCUUGCCAUCGGAUGUGCCCAGAUGGGAUUAGCUAGUAGGUGGGGUAACGGCUCACCUAGGCGACGAUCCCUAGCUGGUCUGAGAGGAUGACCAGCCACACUGGAACUGAGACACGGUCCAGACUCCUACGGGAGGCAGCAGUGGGGAAUAUUGCACAAUGGGCGCAAGCCUGAUGCAGCCAUGCCGCGUGUAUGAAGAAGGCCUUCGGGUUGUAAAGUACUUUCAGCGGGGAGGAAGGGAGUAAAGUUAAUACCUUUGCUCAUUGACGUUACCCGCAGAAGAAGCACCGGCUAACUCUGUGCC
This 473-nucleotide ribosomal RNA is filed under the name uncultured bacterium. Its description in RNAcentral is "bacterial SSU rRNA". It matches the Rfam family "Bacterial small subunit ribosomal RNA", at positions 47 to 509 of the family's 1533-position model. The record is from RNAcentral.